UAGGGAAUCUUCGGCAAUGGACGAAAGUCUGACCGAGCAGCGCCGCGUGAGUGAAGAAGGUUUUCGGAUCGUAAAACUCUGUUGUUAGAGAAGAACAAGGACGUUAGUAACUGAACGUCCCCUGACGGUAUCUAACCAGAAAGCCACGGCUAACUACGUGCCAGCAGCCGCGGUAAUACGUAGGUGGCAAGCGUUGUCCGGAUUUAUUGGGCGUAAAGCGAGCGCAGGCGGUUUCUUAAGUCUGAUGUGAAAGCCCCCGGCUCAACCGGGGAGGGUCAUUGGAAACUGGGAGACUUGAGUGCAGAAGAGGAGAGUGGAAUUCCAUGUGUAACGGUGAAAUGCGUAGAUAUAUGGAGGAACACCAGUGGCGAAGGCGGCUCUCUGGUCUGUAACUGACGCUGAGGCUCGAAAGCGUGGGGAGCAAACAGG
Molecule: ribosomal RNA, 429 nt
Filed under: Gemmatimonadota bacterium
Lineage: Bacteria; Pseudomonadati; Gemmatimonadota
Description: Gemmatimonadetes bacterium partial 16S ribosomal RNA
Rfam family: Bacterial small subunit ribosomal RNA
Source: RNAcentral